UAACCGCGAAGCCUGGACACCGCGGGGGUGGCGCGCAGGCACUCCUGGGCCUGGAAGGAAGCUCGAGGUCGUCUGGUCAAUCACCCCGGGCAAGUCCUGCGCCAGCGGCCGCCCCACCCGGGGCUGGGACGUGCAGGCCGCCCCGGAGUCUCAGAUAAUGCCCUUACAAUCCGGGUUGGAAAUGCAUAACCCGUACGUGACCGGACCACGUAGGCCCUUUCCACAGAGCUGAGCUCAGACCCAGUGAGGGGACGAGGAGACAGUGACAGUUUGGGAACUGACAGAGGCUGGGGUUUGCGCCGGGGACGGGGAACCACCAAUAACCAGACCCUGCGCAGUACGUGACCUUAGUCCUGGGAGGUGGGGGGGAAACCCCGCGUCCGUUGAUUCCCACGGCGCCCCUGGGAGACCCCACGCCAACCCGCCCGCUCAUGGGGGGGCCCAAGGGCCCAGGCGCCUACCCGUAGGCCCCGAGGUCCAGGGUGUGCAGCUCCAGCUGGGGCUCG
Prionailurus viverrinus (fishing cat) is the source of this 506-nucleotide long non-coding RNA. RefSeq lists it as uncharacterized. The transcript is spliced from 3 exons. Lineage: Eukaryota; Metazoa; Chordata; Mammalia; Carnivora; Felidae. The record is from RefSeq and is a predicted model, not a curated record.